This 331-nucleotide unclassified non-coding RNA is filed under the name soil metagenome. RNAcentral describes it as "partial contains 5.8S ribosomal RNA, internal transcribed spacer 2, and large subunit ribosomal RNA". The stretch from base 2 to 119 matches the Rfam family "5.8S ribosomal RNA", at positions 37 to 154 of the family's 154-position model. The record is from RNAcentral.
GUGAAGAACGUAGCGAAAUGCGAUAAGUAAUGUGAAUUGCAGAAUUCAGUGAAUCAUCGAAUCUUUGAACGCACAUUGCGCCCGCCAGUAUUCUGGCGGGCAUGCCUGUUCGAGCGUCAUUUCAACCAUCAAGCUCUGCUUGCGUUGGGGAUCCGCGGCUGCCCGCGGUCCCUCAAAACCAGUGGCGGGCUCGCUAGUCACACCGAGCGUAGUAACUUUACAUCGCUAUGGUCGUGCGGCGGGUGCUUGCCGUAAAACCCCCCAAUUUUUAAGGUUGACCUCGGAUCAGGUAGGAAUACCCGCUGAACUUAAGCAUAUCAAUAAGCGAGGA